UCUCCGUUGGUGAACCAGCGGAGGGAUCAUUACAGGACUCGCAAGACUCCUUCACCCUGUGAACCUCACUACAAGCACGUUGCUUCGGCGGGUGUCCCGGCGGGGGUUUUCCCUCGCCGGGGCGCACAGCCCGCCGGCAGCCUACUAUACUCUGUCUCUUUGCGUUGGCAUCUCGAGAAAAAACAAACAAGUUAAAACUUUCAACAACGGAUCUCUUGGUUGUG
RNAcentral lists this unclassified non-coding RNA (224 nucleotides) under plant metagenome. Its description in RNAcentral is "partial contains small subunit ribosomal RNA, internal transcribed spacer 1, and 5.8S ribosomal RNA". The record is from RNAcentral.